RNAcentral lists this long non-coding RNA (1259 nucleotides) under Cyanistes caeruleus (blue tit). RNAcentral's name for it is "lncRNA (ENSCCEG00000004411.1)". The record is from RNAcentral. Lineage: Eukaryota; Metazoa; Chordata; Aves; Passeriformes; Paridae.
CUUGGUGGUCUGAGUCAGCAGCUGCCAGCCAGCCUGACAGUGGGAGCCUGGGAGGGCAGUCUGCCUCCAGCCUGGGAUGCAGGCACCCAUUCAGGCAGUCUUCCAUCCUGUACUGCUUUUUAGGUCUUAGUGCUUUCACCAGCGUUUCCUGUCCCCUCACUGCGGCCUCCAGUGUCUGGAUGCACUCAGCUACAUCUUUUUUAUGGCCUUUCAUCUGCAGGGUAGAGCAAUGCCCCACUCAUUCUGGCCCACUUGUGCUCUUGACAUUUAAGCGUGUGAGUGAUGAGGCAAGUGAAGCACUGCAUCAGGGUGAGCUCUGACUGAACUGUGGCAGUGCAGGUCUGACUCAUAACUGCAGGGAAGAUGGUCCUUACCACCUGGAGCUCUUCCCAGCACGAUUCCUCAUAUGGAUAUAAAAAGAACCCCAGCUGCUUUUUCCCACCCUCUGUUACUCUUGAUACCUACAGUAGUGUCCUGUUGGCAUCAGCUGCAGCUUGCUUGAUGUACUGUUUACACCCAGGAACUGCAGACUGUCAGACAAGUAGAGGGAAAAGUAUUGGCCAGCUAUUUGUUCAGGAUUGUAAGAUAGUUGGAUUGUUGGAAUGGCAGUGAACAGAUGUCUCAGCAAAUAACUGAGCGUUCCGGCCACGGGAGCAGGAGGUGUCCCGCGGGUGGCUGUCUGCUCGGGGAGCCAGCAGCGAUCCGGCGGCUGACCACGAGAGGUCAGCGCCGGCUUUGCUGCCAGCGCAGCGCCGAGCGGCAGCGGCACCUCGCCCGUCCGCAGAGCAAGGGACCGAAUCGAGCCUCGCCGUGCUGCGGGAGCACCGGGAGCUGACACUGGCCUUGCACCAGGGCUGUCAGCAAGGACGGCAGAAACCACUCACUCACCUCUGAGUGCUGUUGCCAUGUCAUUUUCACCGCCGUCCACCGUCUCCCCCUUGACCUACAGGGUGAUAUGAAGCACUCGAGAGCUGAUCCACCAUAGGUCUGUGCCCAGCAGUUAAAUGUGUUAAAAGCAUGGAAGGAGAAAGACCAAGAAAGCAAGCAGUGGACACCGACCUUCACUAAAGUUCAGUUUGCUUAUUAGUGCCAAAGGUAUCACAUCUGCAGAGCUGAUGCCUUCAAACCAGGGACGAGACCUUGGGCUUGCACAGCUUUCCUUUCUACAACUCCUCUUCUGCGUCAGAGGCCCGGUGUUGAUUCUGUGGUUUGAAAUAAGCUGGAUCAAGUAUCUAGUAAUAAAUGCUUCACGGCCUUCA